GGGGGCGGGGAUGCUAUACUGCAAGUCGAACGAACUUCCGUUAAUUGAUUAUGACGUGCUUGCACUGAAUGAGAUUUUAACACGAAGUGAGUGGCGGACGGGUGAGUAACACGUGGGUAACCUGCCCAGAAGCAGGGGAUAACACCUGGAAACAGAUGCUAAUACCGUAUAACAGAGAAAACCGCCUGGUUUUCUUUUAAAAGAUGGCUCUGCUAUCACUUCUGGAUGGACCCGCGGCGCAUUAGCUAGUUGGUGAGGUAACGGCUCACCAAGGCGAUGAUGCGUAGCCGACCUGAGAGGGUAAUCGGCCACAUUGGGACUGAGACACGGCCCAGACUCCUACGGGAGGCAGCAGUAGGGAAUCUUCCACAAUGGACGCAAGUCUGAUGGAGCAACGCCGCGUGAGUGAAGAAGGGUUUCGGCUCGUAAAGCUCUGUUGUUAAAGAAGAACGUGGGUGAGAGUAACUGUUCACCCAGUGACGGUAUUUAACCAGAAAGCCACGGCUAACUACGUGCCAGCAGCCGCGGUAAUACGUAGGUGGCAAGCGUUAUCCGGAUUUAUUGGGCGUAAAGCGAGCGCAGGCGGUCUUUUAAGUCUAAUGUGAAAGCCUUCGGCUCAACCGAAGAAGUGCAUUGGAAACUGGGAGACUUGAGUGCAGAAGAGGACAGUGGAACUCCAUGUGUAGCGGUGAAAUGCGUAGAUAUAUGGAAGAACACCAGUGGCGAAGGCGGCUGUCUGGUCUGUAACUGACGCUGAGGCUCGAAAGCAUGGGUAGCGAACAGGAUUAGAUACCCUGGUAGUCCAUGCCGUAAACGAUGAUUACUAAGUGUUGGAGGGUUUCCGCCCUUCAGUGCUGCAGCUAACGCAUUAAGUAAUCCGCCUGGGGAGUACGACCGCAAGGUUGAAACUCAAAGAAUUGACGGGGGCCCGCACAAGCGGUGGAGCAUGUGGUUUAAUUCGAAGCUACGCGAAGAACCUUACCAGGUCUUGACAUCUUCUGCCAACCUAGAGAUUAGCGUCCUUCGGGACAGAUGACAGUGUGCAUGAUGUCGUCAGCUCGUGUCGUGAGAUGGUGGAUAGUCCCGCACGAGCGCACCGUAUACUAGUGGCAGCAUUCAGUUGGCACUCUUGGGAACUGCAGGACACGGAGUCAGUGGGAUUACGUCAAUCAUCAAUGC
RNAcentral lists this ribosomal RNA (1179 nucleotides) under Pediococcus acidilactici. RNAcentral's name for it is "bacterial SSU rRNA". It matches the Rfam family "Bacterial small subunit ribosomal RNA", at positions 38 to 1198 of the family's 1533-position model. The record is from RNAcentral. Lineage: Bacteria; Bacillati; Bacillota; Bacilli; Lactobacillales; Lactobacillaceae.